RNAcentral lists this ribosomal RNA (253 nucleotides) under Faecalibacterium prausnitzii. Its description in RNAcentral is "partial 16S ribosomal RNA". It matches the Rfam family "Bacterial small subunit ribosomal RNA", at positions 524 to 776 of the family's 1533-position model. Lineage: Bacteria; Bacillati; Bacillota; Clostridia; Eubacteriales; Oscillospiraceae. The record is from RNAcentral.
AACGUAGGUCACAAGCGUUGUCCGGAAUUACUGGGUGUAAAGGGAGCGCAGGCGGGAAGACAAGUUGGAAGUGAAAUCCAUGGGCUCAGCCCAUGAACUGCUUUCAAAACUGUUUUUCUUGAGUAGUGCAGAGGUAGGCGGAAUUCCCGGUGUAGCGGUGGAAUGCGUAGAUAUCGGGAGGAACACCAGUGGCGAAGGCGGCCUACUGGGCACCAACUGACGCUGAGGCUCGAAAGUGUGGGUAGCAAACAGG